CAGUCGCCGCGGUAAUACGUAGGGUGCAAGCGUUAAUCGGAAUUACUGGGCGUAAAGCGUGCGCAGGCGGUUUGUUAAGACAGAUGUGAAAUCCCCGGGCUCAACCUGGGAACUGCAUUUGUGACUGGCAAGCUAGAGUCUGGCAGAGGGUGGUGGAAUUUCCUGUGUAGCGGUGAAAUGCGUAGAUAUAGGAAGGAACAUCAGUGGCGAAGGCGACCACCUGGACUGAUACUGACACUGAGGUGCGAAAGCGUGGGGAGCAAACAGGAUUAGAUACCCGAGUAGUCCCUGUCUUUUAUAC
Molecule: ribosomal RNA, 301 nt
Filed under: uncultured bacterium
Lineage: Bacteria
Description: partial 16S ribosomal RNA
Rfam family: Bacterial small subunit ribosomal RNA
Source: RNAcentral